This 253-nucleotide ribosomal RNA is filed under the name uncultured bacterium. Its description in RNAcentral is "partial 16S ribosomal RNA". It matches the Rfam family "Bacterial small subunit ribosomal RNA", at positions 524 to 776 of the family's 1533-position model. The record is from RNAcentral.
UACGUAGGUGGCAAGCGUUGUCCGGAAUUAUUGGGCGUAAAGCGCGCGCAGGCGAUCCUUUAAGUCUGAUGUGAAAUCCCACGGCUCAACCGUGGAAGGUCAUUGGAAACUGGGGGACUUGAGUACAGAAGAGGAAAGCGGAAUUCCAAGUGUAGCGGUGAAAUGCGUAGAUAUCGGGAGGAACACCAGUGGCGAAGGCGGCUUCCUGGCCUGUUCUUGACGCUGAGGCGCGAAAGCUAGGGGAGCAAACGGG